UAAGGGAUAUUGCGCAAUGGGCGAAAGCCUGACGCAGCAACGCCGCGUGGAGGAUGAAGGCCUUCGGGUCGUAAACUCCUUUUGGACCUGACGAGCAAGGACGGUAGGGUCCGAAUAAGUCACGGCUAACUACGUGCCAGCAGCCGCGGUAAAACGUAGGUGGCGAGCGUUAUCCGGAUUUACUGGGCGUAAAGGGUGUGCAGGCGGGGCGGCAAGUGGUGUAUGAAAGCGUUCGGCUCAACCGGGCGUGGCUAUGCCAGACUGCGGCUCUAGAGGACGAGAGAGGGGCGUGGAAUUCCGGGUGUAGUGGUGAAAUGCGUAGAGAUCCGGAGGAACCCCAGAGGCGAAGGCGGCGCCCUGGCUCGGUCCUGACGCUCAGACACGACAGCAUGGGGAGCGAACGGG
RNAcentral lists this ribosomal RNA (405 nucleotides) under uncultured bacterium. RNAcentral describes it as "bacterial SSU rRNA". It matches the Rfam family "Bacterial small subunit ribosomal RNA", at positions 355 to 776 of the family's 1533-position model. The record is from RNAcentral.